This 508-nucleotide ribosomal RNA is filed under the name uncultured bacterium. RNAcentral's name for it is "partial 16S ribosomal RNA". It matches the Rfam family "Bacterial small subunit ribosomal RNA", at positions 28 to 507 of the family's 1533-position model. The record is from RNAcentral.
GACGAACGCUGGCGGCGUGCCUAAUACAUGCAAGUCGAACGCUUCUUUCCUCCCGAGUGCUUGCCCUCAAUUGGAAAGAGGAGUGGCGGACGGGUGAGUAACACGUGGGUAACCUACCCAUCAGAGGGGGAUAACACUUGGAAACAGGUGCUAAUACCGCAUAACAGUUUAUGCCGCAUGGCAUAAGAGUGAAAGGCGCUUUCGGGUGUCGCUGAUGGAUGGACCCGCGGUGCAUUGGCUAGUUGGUGAGGUAACGGCUCACCAAGGCCACGAUGCAUAGCCGACCUGAGAGGGUGAUCGGCCACACUGGGACUGAGACACGGCCCAGACUCCUACGGGAGGCAGCAGUAGGGAAUCUUCGGCAAUGGACGAAAGUCUGACCGAGCAACGCCGCGUGAGUGAAGAAGGUUUUCGGAUCGUAAAACUCUGUUGUUAGAGAAGAACAAGGACGUUAGUAACUGAACGUCCCCUGACGGUAUCUAACCAGAAAGCCACGGCUAACUACGUG